Long non-coding RNA from Eupeodes corollae, 513 nucleotides. RefSeq lists it as uncharacterized. The transcript has 3 exons. Lineage: Eukaryota; Metazoa; Arthropoda; Insecta; Diptera; Syrphidae. The record is from RefSeq and is a predicted model, not a curated record.
UCCAGAGUCAACUAUUUCAUCGAUCUAAAAAGUGCCUUCAUCAUAUCCGAAGAAGUAUUUCCCAACGUAACUUCCUCUAGCUGAUAGAGGAUUCUUUCAGGAUCUCUUUCCAGACACCGCUGGUCCGGAAAUGACAAAACUUUUCACAAGUAAAUAACAAGCAAUCUACGCCGGCUUUGAUCCAUUUGCCGAUAGUCUACACGUUGGCAAUCUCCGGGUAAUAUUUGGACUUCUGCAUGGCAUCGAGAAAGACACAAUCCAAUUGCGUUAGUUGGAAAAGCUACGGGUCUUAUCGGUGAUCCUAGUGGCAAAAAAAAAACAGAACGGUCAUUAAGACAAAUUAAUUGCUAUAGAAAAACACCUUAAUAGAAUAUUCAAGAAUCAUCAGGAUGGACUAUGGGGCAAAAAUGACCUAUCUCCUAUUAGAGUCGUCAACAAUGCAUCAUGGUACGAAAAUCUGAAUGUAGUGGACUUUGUUGCCAAUAUGGGAAGACACUUUCGAAUGGGAUCAAU